RNAcentral lists this long non-coding RNA (568 nucleotides) under Androctonus crassicauda. Lineage: Eukaryota; Metazoa; Arthropoda; Arachnida; Scorpiones; Buthidae. The record is from RNAcentral.
AGAAUGUAAUUAUUUUCAUCCAAAGAUAUAUAUAUCAAUAUUCAUUUAUAUAAAUAUAUCAUCUUUAAACUAUAUAUAAUUUCAUAUAUAUUAUUUAAUUUUCCUGCAUGUUGUAUUUUACCAUAAUUACACAUUAUAGAAAUAUUGUCCUUCUUAAUACACAUCUUUGUUUUAUAUUGCCACUUGUUGGUAACUGUUCCCAAGAUUGCACCCUAUACUAUUCCUUUUGCUGUACCCUCCCUACAGUUCCUUGUAUGCUAAUGGAACUAAAGGUAUCCUGUUUGGCUAAAGCAAUCAGUCAAGAUUCUACGCCAGAGAGAUCCCAGCCACUCAGACGUUUGCUGACUCACUUCCUACCAUCUAGCUGGGUUUAUAACCCUAGGUAACGUCUCCUAGGGAACUAUGUCCUGGCCUAAUUUAGAUUUAAUAUAAUAUUGAUCACCUUUCUAAUGUAAAAUUGGAUAUUAUAAUUUCUCUUAUAAAAUAUCACCCUAAAUUAUAUUAGUGAUAUCAAUAUAUAUGCUAAAUUUUUAAAAUUUAAUAUAAAUUAACCAAAAUUUUAAUGCUG